Molecule: non-coding RNA, 114 nt
Organism: Acanthosepion pharaonis
Lineage: Eukaryota; Metazoa; Mollusca; Cephalopoda; Sepiida; Sepiidae
Source: the annotation of a GenBank genome assembly
CUACGGUCAUAUAGCGUUGAAACACCGGCUCCCGUACGAUCAACGAAGUUAAGCAACAUCGAGCCUGGUCAGUACCAAGAUGGGUGACCGCUUGGAAAUAUCAGGUGCUGUAAG